Molecule: transfer RNA, 52 nt
Organism: Cavia porcellus (domestic guinea pig)
Lineage: Eukaryota; Metazoa; Chordata; Mammalia; Rodentia; Caviidae
Rfam family: tRNA
About the family: Transfer RNA (tRNA) molecules are approximately 80 nucleotides in length. Their secondary structure includes four short double-helical elements and three loops (D, anti-codon, and T loops).
Source: Rfam
GGGGAUUUAGCUCAGCGGCAUAAGCGCCUGCCUUGCAAGCAGGCAGUCCCUG